AACGCUGGCGGCAGGCCUAACACAUGCAAGUCGAGCGCCCCGCAAGGGGAGCGGCAGACGGGAGAGUAACACGUGGGAACGUACCCUUCGGUUCGGAACAACCCAGGGAAACUUGGGCUAAUACCGGAUACGUCCGAAAGGAGAAAGAUUCAUCGCCGAAGGAUCGGCCCGCGUCUGAUUAGCUUGUUGGUGAGGUAACGGCUCACCAAGGCGACGAUCAGUAGCUGGUCUGAGAGGAUGAUCAGCCUCACUGGGACUGAGACACGGCCCAGACCCCUACGGGAGGCAGCAGUGGGGAAUAUUGGACAAUGGGCGCAAGCCUGAUCCAGCCAUGCCGCGUGGGUGAUGAAGGCCCUAGGGUUGUAAAGCCCUUUCGGCGGGGAAGAUAAUGACGGUACCCGCAGAAGAAGCCCCGGCUAACUUCGUGCCAGCAGCCGCGGUAAUACGAAGGGGGCUAGCGUUGCUCGGAAUCACUGGGCGUAAAGCGCACGUAGGCGGCUUUUUAAGUCAGGGGUGAAAUCCUGGAGCUCAACUCCAGAACUGCCUUUGAUACUGGGAAGCUGGAGUCCGGGAGAGGUGAGUGGAACUGCGAGUGUA
This 597-nucleotide ribosomal RNA is filed under the name uncultured bacterium. Its description in RNAcentral is "bacterial SSU rRNA". It matches the Rfam family "Bacterial small subunit ribosomal RNA", at positions 32 to 677 of the family's 1533-position model. The record is from RNAcentral.